CACGUAGGAGGCGAGCGUUAUCCGGAUUUAUUGGGCGUAAAGAGCAUGUAGGCGGUUUCGUCAGUCGGUUGUGAAAUCUCCCGGCUUAACCGGGAGGGGUCAGCCGAUACUACAGGGCUUGAGGGCAGCAGAGGAAGGUGGAAUUCCCGGUGUAGUGGUGAAAUGCGUAGAUAUCGGGAGGAACACCAGUGGCGAAAGCGACCUUCUGGGCUGUUCCUGACGCUGAGGUGCGAAAGCGUGGGGAG
Molecule: ribosomal RNA, 245 nt
Filed under: uncultured Chloroflexota bacterium
Lineage: Bacteria; Bacillati; Chloroflexota
Description: uncultured Chloroflexi bacterium partial 16S ribosomal RNA
Rfam family: Bacterial small subunit ribosomal RNA
Source: RNAcentral